UACGGAGGGGACUAGCGUUGUUCGGAAUUACUGGGCGUAAAGCGCACGUAGGCGGAUUUGUGAGUCAGGGGUGAAAUCCCGAGGCUCAACCUCGGAACUGCCUUUGAUACUGCAAAUCUCGAGUCCGGAAGAGGUGAGUGGAAUUCCUAGUGUAGAGGUGAAAUUCGUAGAUAUUAGGAAGAACACCAGUGGCGAAGGCGGCUCACUGGUCCGGUACUGACGCUGAGGUGCGAAAGCGUGGGGAGCAAACAGG
Molecule: ribosomal RNA, 253 nt
Filed under: uncultured bacterium
Lineage: Bacteria
Description: partial 16S ribosomal RNA
Rfam family: Bacterial small subunit ribosomal RNA
Source: RNAcentral